GUUCAUGGCUCAGGAUGAACGCUAGCUACAGGCUUAACACAUGCAAGUCGAGGGGCAGCAUUUCAGUUUGCUUGCAAACUGGAGAUGGCGACCGGCGCACGGGUGAGUAACACGUAUCCAACCUGCCGAUAACUCGGGGAUAGCCUUUCGAAAGAAAGAUUAAUACCCGAUGGUAUAAUUAGACCGCAUGGUCUUGUUAUUAAAGAAUUUCGGUUAUCGAUGGGGAUGCGUUCCAUUAGGCAGUUGG
This 247-nucleotide ribosomal RNA is filed under the name uncultured bacterium. RNAcentral describes it as "partial 16S ribosomal RNA". It matches the Rfam family "Bacterial small subunit ribosomal RNA", at positions 15 to 252 of the family's 1533-position model. The record is from RNAcentral.